Molecule: long non-coding RNA, 420 nt
Organism: Zonotrichia leucophrys gambelii
Lineage: Eukaryota; Metazoa; Chordata; Aves; Passeriformes; Passerellidae
Exons: 3
Source: RefSeq, a predicted model, not a curated record
AGUCUCAGUUGGAUAGCUGGACACAAAUGCCUCACUACCCUGGAAAUGGACCCAAAGGAAUCAGAAACAAAGGACGCUGAUGCUGCUUUUCAUCCUUCUGCCCAAGGAGAAUAAAUGUUUGUGCAAACCUUUUUUCAUGUGGCUGCCCAGAAAUGACCCGAGUGAAGCCAAGAAGUUGAACAUUAAGCAACCUCGCCCUGGUGAUGCUGCUGAAAUGAGAGUGAAGUUGAAGAAAGGCUCUUGUCCUCAGGUAUUAUUUGUAAACAGAACUUCUCCUCCCAUCCCAAGCAGCCUCUGGGGUUUCUCUCCCUCCCAGAAGCCAAGCUGUGCGCGGAGCCGCGGAAGGAAGGUGCGACCCUACGGCGCGCGCAACAAAGUACAGAAACAAGAUCAUUAACAUCUUAAUAUCCUGCCCUGACA